This 911-nucleotide ribosomal RNA is filed under the name Metarhizium rileyi. RNAcentral describes it as "LSU rRNA". It matches the Rfam family "Eukaryotic large subunit ribosomal RNA", at positions 34 to 971 of the family's 3401-position model. The record is from RNAcentral. Lineage: Eukaryota; Fungi; Ascomycota; Sordariomycetes; Hypocreales; Clavicipitaceae.
CUAGCAUAUCAAUAAGCGGAGGAAAAGAAACCAACAGGGAUUGCCCCCAGUAACGGCGAGUGAAGCGGCAACAGCUCAAAUUUGAAAUCUGGUCCCCAGGGCCCGAGUUGUAAUUUGCAGAGGAUGCUUUUGGCGAGGCGCCUUCCGAGUUCCCUGGAACGGGACGCCAUAGAGGGUGAGAGCCCCGUCUGGUUGGAUGCCGAGCCUCUGUAAAGCUCCUUCGACGAGUCGAGUAGUUUGGGAAUGCUGCUCUAAAUGGGAGGUAUAUGUCUUCUAAAGCUAAAUACCGGCCAGAGACCGAUAGCGCACAAGUAGAGUGAUCGAAAGAUGAAAAGCACUUUGAAAAGAGGGUUAAAUAGUACGUGAAAUUGUUGAAAGGGAAGCGCUUAUGACCAGACUUGGGCCCGGUGAAUCAUCCAGCGUUCUCGCUGGUGCACUUUGCCGGGCUCAGGCCAGCAUCAGUUUGCCCCGGGGGAUAAAGGCUUUGGGAAUGUGGCUCCCUCGGGAGUGUUAUAGCCCAUUGCACAAUACCCUGGGGCGGACUGAGGUUCGCGCAUCUGCAAGGAUGCUGGCGUAAUGGUCAUCAGCGACCCGUCUUGAAACACGGACCAAGGAGUCGUCUUCGUAUGCGAGUGUUCGGGUGUCAAACCCCUACGCGUAAUGAAAGUGAACGCAGGUGAGAGCUUCGGCGCAUCAUCGACCGAUCCUGAUGUUCUCGGAUGGAUUUGAGUAAGAGCAUACGGGGCCGGACCCGAAAGAAGGUGAACUAUGCCUGUAUAGGGUGAAGCCAGAGGAAACUCUGGUGGAGGCUCGCAGCGGUUCUGACGUGCAAAUCGAUCGUCAAAUAUGGGGCAUGGGGGGCGAAAGACUAAUCGAAACCUUUCUAGUAGCUGGUUUCCGCCGAAGUCACC